GAUGAACGCUAGCGACAGGCCUAACACAUGCAAGUCGAGGGGCAGCACGGUGUAGCAAUACACGGGUGGCGACCGGCGCACGGGUGAGUAACGCGUAUGCAACCUGCCUACUACAAGGGGAUAACCCGUUGAAAGACGGACUAAUACCCUAUAACACAGGGAAUCCGCAUGGAUAUAUUUGUUAAAGAUUUAUCGGUAGUAGAUGGGCAUGCGUUCCAUUAGCUUGUUGGUGAGGUAACGGCUCACCAAGGCAACGAUGGAUAGGGGAACUGAGAGGUUGAUCCCCCACACUGGAACUGAGACACGGUCCAGACUCCUACGGGAGGCAGCAGUGAGGAAUAUUGGUCAAUGGACGAGAGUCUGAACCAGCCAAGUCGCGUGAAGGAAGACGGCCCUACGGGUUGUAAACUUCUUUUGUAAGGGAAUAAAUAGUCUUACGCGCUAAGACGUUGCAGGUACCUUACGAAUAAGGAUCGGCUAACUCCGUGCCAGCAGCCGCGGUAAUCACGAG
This 511-nucleotide ribosomal RNA is filed under the name uncultured bacterium. RNAcentral's name for it is "bacterial SSU rRNA". It matches the Rfam family "Bacterial small subunit ribosomal RNA", at positions 28 to 529 of the family's 1533-position model. The record is from RNAcentral.